UGGGGAAUAUUGGACAAUGGGCGCAAGCCUGAUCCAGCCAUGCCGCGUGAGUGACGAAGACCCUAGGGUUGUAAAGCUCUUUCACCGGUGAAGAUAAUGACGGUAACCGGAGAAGAAGCCCCGGCUAACUUCGUGCCAGCAGCCGCGGUAAUACGAAGGGGGCUAGCGUUGUUCGGAUUUACUGGGCGUAAAGCGCACGUAGGCGGACUAUUAAGUCAGGGGUGAAAUCCCGGGGCUCAACCCCGGAACUGCCUUUGAUACUGGUAGUCUUGAGUUCGAGAGAGGUGAGUGGAAUUCCGAGUGUAGAGGUGAAAUUCGUAGAUAUUCGGAGGAACACCAGUGGCGAAGGCGGCUCACUGGCUCGAUACUGACGCUGAGGUGCGAAAGCGUGGGGAGCAAACAGG
RNAcentral lists this ribosomal RNA (404 nucleotides) under Actinomycetes bacterium. Its description in RNAcentral is "Actinobacteria bacterium partial 16S ribosomal RNA". It matches the Rfam family "Bacterial small subunit ribosomal RNA", at positions 355 to 776 of the family's 1533-position model. Lineage: Bacteria; Bacillati; Actinomycetota; Actinomycetes. The record is from RNAcentral.